RNAcentral lists this ribosomal RNA (525 nucleotides) under fungal sp. 57591. RNAcentral's name for it is "eukaryotic LSU rRNA". The stretch from base 170 to 323 matches the Rfam family "5.8S ribosomal RNA". The record is from RNAcentral. Lineage: Eukaryota; Fungi.
GGUGAACCUGCGGAGGGAUCAUUACCUAGUAGUUUGUAGACUUCGGUCUGCUACCUCUUACCCAUGUCUUUUGAGUACCUUCGUUUCCUCGGUGGGUCCGCCCGCCGACUGGACAACAUUCAAACCCUUUGCAGUUGCAAUCAGCGUCUGAAAAAAACAUAAUAGUUACAACUUUCAACAACGGAUCUCUUGGUUCUGGCAUCGAUGAAGAACGCAGCGAAAUGCGAUAAGUAGUGUGAAUUGCAGAAUUCAGUGAAUCAUCGAAUCUUUGAACGCACAUUGCGCCCCUUGGUAUUCCAUGGGGCAUGCCUGUUCGAGCGUCAUUUGUACCUUCAAGCUCUGCUUGGUGUUGGGUGUUUUGUCUCGCCUCUGCGUGUAGACUCGCCUUAAAACAAUUGGCAGCCGGCGUAUUGAUUUCGGAGCGCAGUACAUCUCGCGCUUUGCACUCAUAACGACGACGUCCAAAAGUACAAUUUUACACUCUUGACCUCGGAUCAGGUAGGGAUACCCGCUGAACUUAAGCAU